CUCAGAUCGAACGCUGGCGGCAUGGCUAAAACAUGCAAGUCGGACGCGAACGUUUCCUCCGUGGAAACAAGUAGAGUGGCGAACGGGCGAGGAAUACAUGGGAAACGUACCCCAGGCACAGGGAUAGCUACGGGAAACCGUGGGUAAUACCUGAUGAGACCACAGUGUCAUAAGGCACAGCGGUCAAAGGGUGGGGACCUUCGGGCCUAUCGGCCUGGGAGCGGCCCAUGUCCUAUCAGCUUGUUGGUGAGGUAACGGCUCACCAAGGCGACGACGGGUACCGGGACUGAGAGGUUGACCCGGCGCAUUGGGACUGAGACACUGCCCAGACUCCUACGGGAGGCUGCAGUAACGAAUAUUGGGCUAAUGUGCGAAAGCAUGACCCAGCAAUGCCGCGUGUGGGAAGAAGCCCUUCGGGGUGUAAACCACUGUCAGGGGUUAGCAAGCAAUCCGGUCGAACAGGCCGGUGCGUUGAGCAGCCCCAGAGGAAGCCACGGCUAACUUCGUGCCAGCAGCCGCGGUAAGACGAAGGUGGCAAGCGUUGUUCGGAAUCACUGGGCUUAAAGGGCACGCAGGCGGCCUGUCAAGUGUCUUGUGAAAUCCCUCGACUCAACCGAGGAAUUGCAGGGCAAACUGGCAGGCUUGAGGCAGGUAGGGGCAAGUGGAACUCUUGGUGGAGCGGUGGAAUGCGUAGAUAUCAAGAGGAACGCCAGUGGCGAAAGCGACUUGCUGGGCCUGUCCUGACGCUGAGGUGCGAAAGCCAGGGGAGCGAACGGGAUUAGAUACCCCGGUAGUCCUGGCCCUAAACGAUGUCCAC
This 817-nucleotide ribosomal RNA is filed under the name uncultured organism. Its description in RNAcentral is "bacterial SSU rRNA". It matches the Rfam family "Bacterial small subunit ribosomal RNA", at positions 23 to 816 of the family's 1533-position model. The record is from RNAcentral.